RNAcentral lists this ribosomal RNA (253 nucleotides) under uncultured bacterium. RNAcentral's name for it is "partial 16S ribosomal RNA". It matches the Rfam family "Bacterial small subunit ribosomal RNA", at positions 524 to 776 of the family's 1533-position model. The record is from RNAcentral.
UACGAAGGAUGCAAGCGUUAUCCGGAUUUAUUGGGUUUAAAGGGUGCGUAGGCGGGCUGAUAAGUCAGUGGUGAAAGCUGGUCGCUCAACGAUCAAAUUGCCAUUGAUACUAUCGGUCUUGAGUACGGUUGAAGUGGGCGGAAUGUGCAGUGUAGCGGUGAAAUGCUUAGAUAUUGCACAGAACACCAAUUGCGAAGGCAGCUCACUAAGUCGUAACUGACGCUGAGGCACGAAAGUGUGGGGAUCAAACAGG